GGUUAAGCGACUAAGCGUACACGGUGGAUGCCCUGGCAGUCAGAGGCGAUGAAGGACGUGCUAAUCUGCGAUAAGCGUCGGUAAGGUGAUAUGAACCGUUAUAACCGGCGAUUUCCGAAUGGGGAAACCCAGUGUGUUUCGACACACUAUCAUUAACUGAAUCCAUAGGUUAAUGAGGCGAACCGGGGGAACUGAAACAUCUAAGUACCCCGAGGAAAAGAAAUCAACCGAGAUUCCCCCAGUAGCGGCGAGCGAACGGGGAGCAGCCCAGAGCCUGAAUCAGUGUGUGUGUUAGUGGAAGCGUCUGGAAAGGCGCGCGAUACAGGGUGACAGCCCCGUACACAAAAAUGCACAUACUGUGAGCUCGAUGAGUAGGGCGGGACACGUGGUAUCCUGUCUGAAUAUGGGGGGACCAUCCUCCAAGGCUAAAUACUCCUGACUGACCGAUAGUGAACCAGUACCGUGAGGGAAAGGCGAAAAGAACCCCGGCGAGGGGAGUGAAAAAGAACCUGAAACCGUGUACGUACAAGCAGUGGGAGCACGCUUAGGCGUGUGACUGCGUACCUUUUGUAUAAUGGGUCAGCGACUUAUAUUCUGUAGCAAGGUUAACCGAAUAGGGGAGCCGAAGGGAAACCGAGUCUUAACUGGGCGUUAAGUUGCAGGGUAUAGACCCGAAACCCGGUGAUCUAGCCAUGGGCAGGUUGAAGGUUGGGUAACACUAACUGGAGGACCGAACCGACUAAUGUUGAAAAAUUAGCGGAUGACUUGUGGCUGGGGGUGAAAGGCCAAUCAAACCGGGAGAUAGCUGGUUCUCCCCGAAAGCUAUUUAGGUAGCGCCUCGUGAAUUCAUCUCCGGGGGUAGAGCACUGUUUCGGCAAGGGGGUCAUCCCGACUUACCAACCCGAUGCAAACUGCGAAUACCGGAGAAUGUUAUCACGGGAGACACACGGCGGGUGCUAACGUCCGUCGUGAAGAGGGAAACAACCCAGACCGCCAGCUAAGGUCCCAAAGUCAUGGUUAAGUGGGAAACGAUGUGGGAAGGCCCAGACAGCCAGGAUGUUGGCUUAGAAGCAGCCAUCAUUUAAAGAAAGCGUAAUAGCUCACUGGUCGAGUCGGCCUGCGCGGAAGAUGUAACGGGGCUAAACCAUGCACCGAAGCUGCGGCAGCGACGCUUAUGCGUUGUUGGGUAGGGGAGCGUUCUGUAAGCCUGCGAAGGUGUGCUGUGAGGCAUGCUGGAGGUAUCAGAAGUGCGAAUGCUGACAUAAGUAACGAUAAAGCGGGUGAAAAGCCCGCUCGCCGGAAGACCAAGGGUUCCUGUCCAACGUUAAUCGGGGCAGGGUGAGUCGACCCCUAAGGCGAGGCCGAAAGGCGUAGUCGAUGGGAAACAGGUUAAUAUUCCUGUACUUGGUGUUACUGCGAAGGGGGGACGGAGAAGGCUAUGUUGGCCGGGCGACGGUUGUCCCGGUUUAAGCGUGUAGGCUGGUUUUCCAGGCAAAUCCGGAAAAUCAAGGCUGAGGCGUGAUGACGAGGCACUACGGUGCUGAAGCAACAAAUGCCCUGCUUCCAGGAAAAGCCUCUAAGCAUCAGGUAACAUCAAAUCGUACCCCAAACCGACACAGGUGGUCAGGUAGAGAAUACCAAGGCGCUUGAGAGAACUCGGGUGAAGGAACUAGGCAAAAUGGUGCCGUAACUUCGGGAGAAGGCACGCUGAUAUGUAGGUGAAGUCCCUCGCGGAUGGAGCUGAAAUCAGUCGAAGAUACCAGCUGGCUGCAACUGUUUAUUAAAAACACAGCACUGUGCAAACACGAAAGUGGACGUAUACGGUGUGACGCCUGCCCGGUGCCGGAAGGUUAAUUGAUGGGGUUAGCCGCAAGGCGAAGCUCUUGAUCGAAGCCCCGGUAAACGGCGGCCGUAACUAUAACGGUCCUAAGGUAGCGAAAUUCCUUGUCGGGUAAGUUCCGACCUGCACGAAUGGCGUAAUGAUGGCCAGGCUGUCUCCACCCGAGACUCAGUGAAAUUGAACUCGCUGUGAAGAUGCAGUGUACCCGCGGCAAGACGGAAAGACCCCGUGAACCUUUACUAUAGCUUGACACUGAACAUUGAGCCUUGAUGUGUAGGAUAGGUGGGAGGCUUAGAAGUGUGGACGCCAGUCUGCAUGGAGCCGACCUUGAAAUACCACCCUUUAAUGUUUGAUGUUCUAACGUUGACCCGUAAUCCGGGUUGCGGACAGUGUCUGGUGGGUAGUUUGACUGGGGCGGUCUCCUCCUAAAGAGUAACGGAGGAGCACGAAGGUUGGCUAAUCCUGGUCGGACAUCAGGAGGUUAGUGCAAUGGCAUAAGCCAGCUUGACUGCGAGCGUGACGGCGCGAGCAGGUGCGAAAGCAGGUCAUAGUGAUCCGGUGGUUCUGAAUGGAAGGGCCAUCGCUCAACGGAUAAAAGGUACUCCGGGGAUAACAGGCUGAUACCGCCCAAGAGUUCAUAUCGACGGCGGUGUUUGGCACCUCGAUGUCGGCUCAUCACAUCCUGGGGCUGAAGUAGGUCCCAAGGGUAUGGCUGUUCGCCAUUUAAAGUGGUACGCGAGCUGGGUUUAGAACGUCGUGAGACAGUUCGGUCCCUAUCUGCCGUGGGCGCUGGAGAACUGAGGGGGGCUGCUCCUAGUACGAGAGGACCGGAGUGGACGCAUCACUGGUGUUCGGGUUGUCAUGCCAAUGGCACUGCCCGGUAGCUAAAUGCGGAAGAGAUAAGUGCUGAAAGCAUCUAAGCACGAAACUUGCCCCGAGAUGAGUUCUCCCUGACUCCUUGAGAGUCCUGAAGGAACGUUGAAGACGACGACGUUGAUAGGCCGGGUGUGUAAGCGCAGCGAUGCGUUGAGCUAACCGGUACUAAUGAACCGUGAGGCUUAACCUU
RNAcentral lists this ribosomal RNA (2906 nucleotides) under Escherichia coli. RNAcentral describes it as "23S ribosomal RNA". It matches the Rfam family "Bacterial large subunit ribosomal RNA". The record is from RNAcentral. Lineage: Bacteria; Pseudomonadati; Pseudomonadota; Gammaproteobacteria; Enterobacterales; Enterobacteriaceae.